This is a long non-coding RNA of Macadamia integrifolia, 1307 nucleotides long. RefSeq lists it as uncharacterized. The record is from RefSeq and is a predicted model, not a curated record. Lineage: Eukaryota; Viridiplantae; Streptophyta; Magnoliopsida; Proteales; Proteaceae. The transcript is spliced from 3 exons.
UAACGGUGCCUGGUCCUUCUUAGGAGUACGUGGUUGUUUUGUCCAUAUAAGGGUUUGCUUCCGGAAAGGGGUGAAAGAGCUUUCUUUUCCGUUUUUUGCAUCGAAGAAGAAGAGAAGGGUAUGGAUGUGACCUUCAACUUCGAGGCUUCAACUCCACAGAGGCAGGCCAUUGAUGAGACUUAUUUUGAGUUUGUGCGUGAAUCUAACCCAUUGUUACGAGAUUUAUGAUUCUCGAUGAACAACGAUUGUGUUAGAUUCACGCACAAACUCGCCAUAUGUCUCCUCUGCAAUUUGUAUUUCCGGUUUGGGUUUUUCUCUCAUCAUUAUCUGUGUUUUUUCCCAAAUCCCUAUAUAAUUCUGCAUUUUUCCCCCUGUUUAAGCUUUUUUAUAUGUAUAUAUAUAUCUCUGUUAGAUAUUCAAAAUCAGUACUUUAGAUCAGGAAAGAGGAAGAAGAGGGCAAGGGCAAUGGUGUCUGCUUCGGAAGUGGGCUAGGGCUAGGGCUUUUGAGUGAAGAUUUCCAUUUGUUCGUUGCGAUGACCCACGGUGGAGAUUUUGAAGCGGGCAUGGCGGAAAUUUUUCAGUUUCAGCGAUAGUUUGAUUUCUGUUUUUUCAAUUAUUAUUAAUUAUGCCGCAUGUGGGUUGGCGAUGAUAAGAGUGCAUUCACUUGCUCGGAUUCUAUCUAAUGUAUUGCAGAUUGAAAAAUACUUCAUCAAGAUUCCAUAACUGAAUUGUAGAACUGAUUUUCUGAACAAGAGCAGAAGUUCGUUAAAGCCCCGGGGCCUUAGUUGGGGAAGAACUUUGGAUUCUGAAAAGCAAGUUAUCUGUUUGAGAGCUUCCUAGCUUGAUGACAGGUUGUCUGUUAUGAUCUUUAUACAGAAAAAUAUAUUCUUAACAGGAUAUGCUUUUCUGUAUACCAAAAAAAUAUAUUCAUUCUUACAGGUUGUGCUUUUCUAGCCAAUUUGAAGAGUGGGCUGAUUGACUUUUUUGUAAGCGUUUGGCAUGUCGUGGGUGAAGGCAUUGGUGUGUAACACGUCCUUUGGAGAAUCAACCUCAGGUGAAGAACCCAGGAAGGGGCAACUGAUGAUGGCCCUUUAUUUUGUGCUCCUAGAAGUAUCUUUUGGCUCUAGUGCCAAGCCUGUUCUCAAGGAUAUUAUGUAUGAUGUGUUAUCAUUCUAGUGUAUCUUACCAGAAAAAGUUAUCAUUCUAGUGUAUUUUUUUGGGUAACACAUGAUGCUUCAAUGUUCCAGAACAGAACAUCUACUAGUGUUCAAAGUUUGGUAUGGUGUAGAUGACACUUUAUUCUCUCC